RNAcentral lists this long non-coding RNA (1627 nucleotides) under Capsicum annuum. RNAcentral's name for it is "long non-coding RNA (CANN_LNC008709)". Lineage: Eukaryota; Viridiplantae; Streptophyta; Magnoliopsida; Solanales; Solanaceae. The record is from RNAcentral.
UGGAUCAGUCUGCGAAAUAUCUACUACAUGAAAAUCUGACAAUAAUCUGAAAACUAGGACAAGGUCCCCAGUAGACCAAAACAGUAAUAGAUAACAUAAUCUGAAAGGAAAGGCCCUCUGGAAUAGAGAAGGCUCACCACUGUACAAUUUGAUCUGCUGUCUGAAUUAUCUACUGCUUAUCUGGACCCCUAGGCUGAGCGUCAGAACCUGAGAGGUAGGGGAGGAGGGUCAAUACAGAUGUACUAGUACGCAGAGUAAAUCCAAAAUAGUAAUUUGUAUUCAACAUUUAUGAGGGCAAUUUAAAAUAAUUCAUAAAGAUAUCAUUUAGUAAGAAAUCUCAUGGGCAUUUUUGAGAGACUCUGAAAAAUCAUCUGAACUCUGUGACACUCUUUGUUUUACUUUUGUGCUAGGUGGUAUAACCUACAACACUGAAAUUCCAUGGGCUAUAUGGAAUCUGCCAUUAACUCGGCAGCCAAGCCCCAACCCAAGUGUGCCGCAAGGGUCGGAGUCUCUGAAACUACUACGCCACACGGCUGUCACCAGCGUACAUUAAUAAUCUACCCGUAUCGACAAAUACAAUAUUAGGCUAAGAGUUACUUGAACUCAAGCCUUCUACGGGUAACCACCUAACCCUCUUUAUGACCAUUUUUAUCUCUUUAAAAUAUGCAUUCUCUAGAAACAUAUUCUGAAAACAUUCUCUGAAGACAUACUCUGAAAACAUACUCUGUUAUGGCAUACAUACUUAUGGUAUCGUCAUACCAUUAACUUGCAAGUCAUACCUCUGAGACAUUAUUAGCAUAUUAGAAUCUUUGUUUCCAAAACAUAAAUUUUGGACCACCAUAUCAAUAAAUCAGUUUGAAGAACCGUUUUUCUGAUUACUCAUGUAAACAUAUGUAUGCAACUCUCUUUGACAGCAUUUCAAAUGAUACAAGGUGGUCAUGCCAAAAGCAUUAAUCUUAUGCAAAUGUUUCUCUCUUUAACAAAACACAUUUAUAUCAAAAGCUCCUUCUCAAAAUCUCUAAAUCAUGCUCAAAAUAUUAUGGUAUUUGAGUAAACUAUUUUCAAGCCAUAAAUCAUACAUAUCAAACCAUUCCCAACAAGACCACAAAUUUAAAGUCAUCACAAGAGAGAGAUUUCAUAAAUUAUGCUCUCAAACAAUCUUCAAAUCUUAAUUUUUUUCAUACAUAUACAUAUACAUGUAAAUAAAUUUAAGGGGGAAAGGCCUAAAGACCAAAUCAUCAAUAUCUUUAAAGAUUCAUAAUACAUAAUAAAAUCAUGGAUCUAAAAACCUCUUUAUAAAUUCAUGCUAGAUAGAUCUUUAAAUCAUACUUGAAUAUUUCAACAAGCUCAUGUAAUUUAGGAUAAACCCCAUGUGCCGAAGAUUAUUUAGUUUGAAAGAUGGAACCCGGAUCUAGAUAGAUGAAACCCGGAUCUAGAUCCGUUUCUUGAACAUCUUCACUUAGGAGGUUGAAUUCUUGAUCCAUUGAAGGGAAGGAAACUUAAAUCUUGAUUUUUUUUCUUGCAAAUCUUGAACUGAAGGAUUAAUUUUCUUGAUUUCUUGAUCUUGGAGGAAACCCUACUUUCCAUCUUGUUCUUGAGAGUAGAGAGGAUUGAGAUAUUGUAAAAC